This 802-nucleotide unclassified non-coding RNA is filed under the name Hevea brasiliensis (rubber tree). The record is from RNAcentral. Lineage: Eukaryota; Viridiplantae; Streptophyta; Magnoliopsida; Malpighiales; Euphorbiaceae.
UCCACGGCCACGGCCUACAACAUAAUAGAUCAUGAUCAACUUUCAACAAACCACAUAUAUAAUUCCACAUAAAUAAUUGUCAAAAAGGUGGUGCUUGGACAAAUCUAAUGGCGUGAGUCACAUCUUGAAAUUCUAACAACGAAGAAGAUAGCAACCACCAACCAGCUCUCCAUAACAAAUAUCAACUAUUGCAACAAUAGUUAAAAAAUUACAUGCAUCCCAUCUACAUCAGUUGCAAGCAUCAAUGAAUCUUGUGCAAAUAGGUAUUACAAUCAAUGAAUAAGUUAUACAUGAAUUAACAGUAGAAAAAUAGUUUAUUAAAACAAUUGCCUUGAUGUCACUUGCUAUUCUUGCACCACUAGCAUGACAGUUGUAAAGAUUGCCUUUUUAGAAGCAUCAUAUUGAUUAAGGAGAAUUUUGUUCAAAUAAUAUAAAUCUGUGCUUUGACAUUCCAGGAAAAUCCAAUAAUGAAGCAGGCAAGCUGUAUAAAAAGGAUUAAGUCUAGACUCUGAAGCAUGCACUAGAAGCUAUCCUAUAAACACCUACAAAAAUGUAAACCAAUAUUAAUCACAGGUUAAAAAAAGAAGGGAAGGGAGGAAGGGGGGACAUACCACGGGCUUGAGCAGGUGCAUCAUAGUUGUAGCCUCCAUCUUGCUGCACGUCAUUAGGAGGUCCAUUGUAUACUCUCCCACGGCCACGUGAACUACGUCCUCUUCCUCUACCUCUACCCCUACCCCUACCCCUACCUUGGCCCCUGUUGCGAUCCCAACCACCAUCUUCAUACUCGGCAACAAAUCCAUUU